UGAGUAACACGUAUCCAACCUGCCGUCUACUCUUGGACAGCCUUCUGAAAGGAAGAUUAAUACAAGAUGGCAUCAUGAGUUCACAUGUUCACAUGAUUAAAGGUAUUCCGGUAGACGAUGGGGAUGCGUUCCAUUAGAUAGUAGGCGGGAUAACGGCCCACCUAGUCUUCGAUGGAUAGGGGUUCUGAGAGGAAGGUCCCCCACAUUGGAACUGAGACACGGUCCAA
This 227-nucleotide ribosomal RNA is filed under the name uncultured bacterium. Its description in RNAcentral is "partial 16S ribosomal RNA". It matches the Rfam family "Bacterial small subunit ribosomal RNA", at positions 107 to 334 of the family's 1533-position model. The record is from RNAcentral.